Molecule: ribosomal RNA, 20 nt
Filed under: uncultured fungus
Lineage: Eukaryota; Fungi
Description: partial 28S ribosomal RNA
Source: RNAcentral
UUGACCUCAAAUCAGGCAAG